UGGGGAAUUUUGCACAAUGGGCGGAAGCCUGAUGCAGCGACGCCGUGUGGGGGAUGAAGGCCUUCGGGUUGUAAACUCUUUUCGUCAUGGACGAAGUUUGUUUGACGGUACCUGGAUAAGAAGCACCGGCUAACUACGUGCCAGCAGCCGCGGUAAUACGUAGGGUGCGAGCGUUGUCCGGAUUUACUGGGCGUAAAGGGCUCGUAGGUGGUGUGUUGCUUCGUCUGUGUAAUCCAGGGGCUUAACUUUUGGUUGGCAGGCGAUACGGGCAUUGCUUGAGUGCUGUAGGGGAGACUGGAAUUCCUGGUGUAGCGGUGAAAUGCGCAGAUAUCAGGAGGAACACCGAUGGCGAAGGCAGGUCUCUGGGCAGUUACUGACGCUGAGGAGCGAGAGCAUGGGUAGCGAACAGG
Molecule: ribosomal RNA, 410 nt
Filed under: bacterium
Lineage: Bacteria
Description: partial 16S ribosomal RNA
Rfam family: Bacterial small subunit ribosomal RNA
Source: RNAcentral